RNAcentral lists this ribosomal RNA (492 nucleotides) under uncultured bacterium. RNAcentral's name for it is "partial 16S ribosomal RNA". It matches the Rfam family "Bacterial small subunit ribosomal RNA", at positions 29 to 507 of the family's 1533-position model. The record is from RNAcentral.
AGUGAACGCUGGCGGUAGGCCUAACACAUGCAAGUCGAACGGCAGCACAGUAAGAGCUUGCUCUUACGGGUGGCGAGUGGCGGACGGGUGAGGAAUACAUCGGAAUCUACUUUUUCGUGGGGGAUAACGUAGGGAAACUUACGCUAAUACCGCAUACGACCUACGGGUGAAAGCAGGGGAUCUUCGGACCUUGCGCGAUUGAAUGAGCCGAUGUCGGAUUAGCUAGUUGGCGGGGUAAAGGCCCACCAAGGCGACGAUCCGUAGCUGGUCUGAGAGGAUGAUCGGCCACACUGGAACUGAGACACGGUCCAGACUCCUACGGGAGGCAGCAGUAGGGAAUCUUGCACAAUGGGCGAAAGCCUGACCCAGCCUUGCCGCGUGAGUGAAGAAGGCCUUCGGGUCGUAAAGCCCUUUUAUUGGGAAAGAAAAAAAGUGUAUUAAUCCCCCCAUGUUUUGACGGUACCCAAAGAAAAAGCCCCGGCUAACUUCGUG